GACGAACCGUACGAACGUUAUUCGGAAUCACUGGGCUUAAAGGGUGCGUAGGCGGUCCGAUAAGUUGGGUGUGAAAUACCUCGGCUCAACCGAGGAAUUGCGCCCAAUACUGCCGGACUCGAGGAAGGCAGAGGUGAGCGGAACUUAGGGUGGAGCGGUGAAAUGCGUUGAUAUCCUAAGGAACACCAGGGGCGAAAGCGGCUCACUGGGCCUUUUCUGACGCUGAGGCACGAAAGCUAGGGGAGCGAACGGG
Molecule: ribosomal RNA, 253 nt
Filed under: uncultured bacterium
Lineage: Bacteria
Description: partial 16S ribosomal RNA
Rfam family: Bacterial small subunit ribosomal RNA
Source: RNAcentral